Molecule: ribosomal RNA, 253 nt
Filed under: uncultured bacterium
Lineage: Bacteria
Description: partial 16S ribosomal RNA
Rfam family: Bacterial small subunit ribosomal RNA
Source: RNAcentral
AACGUAGGUGGCGAGCGUUAUCCGGAUUUACUGGGUGUAAAGCGUGUGCAGGCGGACGGACAAGUGGUGUAUGAAAUCUUCAGGCUCAACCUGGAGCGGUUAUGCCAGACUGUUCGACUAGAGUGCGAGAGAGGGGCGUGGAAUUCCGGGUGUAGUGGUGAAAUGCGUAGAGAUCCGGAAGAACCCCAGAGGCGAAGGCGGCGCCCUGGCUCGCAACUGACGCUCAGACACGACAGCAUGGGGAGCGAACGGG